AAAAUUCUGAUGAUGUCUCAGCCACUGAGGAAGAAUAGAAUGAGAUGAAAACCCACAUCCUGUGAUUCUAAAACCCACACACUCUUCUCUAUAGCUAGUAGGUCUCUUUCCGGCACAAUGAGCUGACAGUAAAUCUAUCGCAUUUAUAAAAAUAAAAGACUCUUAUAAAAGAGACAAGGGCCUGGCCAUUCACCUAACGUCACUCCACUGAAAGGCGUGGGAAUUGUGUGGAUCUGGGAGCCAGGCUUGGGAAGGAGAAAACUCCUGUUGCUGCAUGUGAGCACCGUGGAUCCUCAGAGGUUCCUGCCCAGCAGAUGUAU
RNAcentral lists this long non-coding RNA (320 nucleotides) under Rattus norvegicus (Norway rat). RNAcentral describes it as "long non-coding RNA NONRATT033522". Lineage: Eukaryota; Metazoa; Chordata; Mammalia; Rodentia; Muridae. The record is from RNAcentral.